AGUACGGCGAGUGAAGCGGCAACAGCUCAAAUUUGAAAGCUGGCCUUCGGGUCCGCAUUGUAAUUUGUAGAGGAUGCUUUGGGGCAGCCGCCUGUCUAAGUUCCUUGGAACAGGACGUCAUAGAGGGUGAGAAUCCCGUAUGUGACAGGACAUGGCACCCUAUGUAAAGCUCCUUCGACGAGUCGAGUUGUUUGGGAAUGCAGCUCUAAAUGGGAGGUAAAUUUCUUCUAAAGCUAAAUAUUGGCGAGAGACCGAUAGCGCACAAGUAGAGUGAUCGAAAGAUGAAAAGCACUUUGGAAAGAGAGUUAAAAAGCACGUGAAAUUGUUGAAAGGGAAGCGCUUGCAAUCAGACUUGUUUAAACUGUUCGGCCGGUCUUCUGACCGGUUUACUCAGUUUGGACAGGCCAGCAUCAGUUUCGGCGGCCGGAUAAAGGCUCUGGGAAUGUGGCCCUCACUUCGGUGGGGGUGUUAUAGCCCGGGGUGUAAUACGGCCAGCCGGGACUGAGGUCCGCGCUUCGGCUAGGAUGCUGGCGUAAUGGUUGUAAGCGAC
RNAcentral lists this ribosomal RNA (550 nucleotides) under Aureobasidium sp. YM24372. Its description in RNAcentral is "eukaryotic LSU rRNA". It matches the Rfam family "Eukaryotic large subunit ribosomal RNA", at positions 82 to 648 of the family's 3401-position model. Lineage: Eukaryota; Fungi; Ascomycota; Dothideomycetes; Dothideales; Saccotheciaceae. The record is from RNAcentral.